UACGUAGGGUGCGAGCGUUGUCCGGAUUUAUUGGGCGUAAAGAGCUCGUAGGCGGCUUGUCGCGUCGGAUGUGAAAGCCCGGGGCUUAACUCCGGGUCUGCAUUCGAUACGGGCAGGCUAGAGUGUGGUAGGGGAGAUCGGAAUUCCUGGUGUAGCGGUGAAAUGCGUAGAUAUCUGGAGGAACACCGGUGGCGAAGGCGGCAUCCUGGACCGAGAUUGACGCUGAGGCGCGAAAGCCAGGGGAGCAAACGGG
RNAcentral lists this ribosomal RNA (253 nucleotides) under uncultured bacterium. Its description in RNAcentral is "partial 16S ribosomal RNA". It matches the Rfam family "Bacterial small subunit ribosomal RNA", at positions 524 to 776 of the family's 1533-position model. The record is from RNAcentral.